CGUGGGAACGUGCCCUUCACUACGGAAUAGUCCCCGGGAAACUUGGGUUUAAUACCGUAUACGCCCUUCGGGGGAAAGAAUUUCGGUGAAGGAUCGGCCCGCGUCUGAUUAGGUAGUUGGUGGGGUAACGGCCUACCAAGCCUACGAUCAGUAGCUGGUUUGAGAGGAUGAUCAGCCACACUGGGACUGAGACACGGCCCAGACUCCUACGGGAGGCAGCAGUGGGGAAUCUUAGACAAUGGGGGCAACCCUGAUCUAGCCAUGCCGCGUGAGUGACGAAGGCCCUAGGGUCGUAAAGCUCUUUCACCAGGGAAGAUAAUGACGGUACCUGGAGAAGAAACCCCGGCUAACUCCGUGCCAGCAGCCGCGGUAAUACGGAGGGGGUUAGCGUUGUUCGGAAUUACUGGGCGUAAAGCGCGCGUAGGCGGACUGUUAAGUCAGGGGUGAAAUCCCGGGGCUCAACCCCGGAACUGCCCUUGAUACUGGCAGUCUCGAGUUCGAGAGAGGUGAGUGGAACUCCGAGUGUAGAGGUGAAAUUCGUAGAUAUUCGGAAGAACACCAGUGGCGAAGGCGGCUCACUGGCUCGAUACUGACGCUGAGGUGCGAAAGUGUGGGGAGCAAACAGGAUUAGAUACCCUGGUAGUCCACACCGUAAACGAUGAAUGCCAGACGUCGGGCAGCAUGCUGUUCGGUGUCACACCUAACGGAUUAAGCAUUCCGCCUGGGGAGUACGGCCGCAAGGUUAAAACUCAAUGGAAUUGACGGGGGCCCGCACAAUCGGUGGAGCAUGUGGUUUAAUUAGAAGCAACGUGCUGAACCUUACCAACCCUUGUCAUCCUAGUUGUGGUUACCGGAGACGGUUUCCUUCAGUUAGGCUGGACGAGUGACAGGUGUUGCAUGGCAGUGGUCAGCUCGUGUCGUGAGAUGUUCGGUUAAGUCCGGCAACGAGCGCAACCCACACCCUUAGUUGCUAGCAGGUCCGGCCUGGGCACUCUAGGGGAACUGCCCGUGAUAAGCGGGAGGAAGGUGUGGAUGACGUCAAGUCCUCAUGGCCCUUACGGGUUG
Molecule: ribosomal RNA, 1065 nt
Filed under: uncultured organism
Description: bacterial SSU rRNA
Rfam family: Bacterial small subunit ribosomal RNA
Source: RNAcentral